GGUUUUGUGGCAGAAGGCUUUCGAAAUACAUGCUAAUGAAACUAUUGAUCUUCUGAAAUCAAUCAUAACUCCUCUCAUGGGUUUCAUGAUAGUAUUUGGACCAAUCCUGCAAUCCUUGUCAGAUAUACAAUGGUCAUCUUAAUAUCUCUAUACAGGUUAUAGUAGAAGAAACAUGGAUCAAUUUUCUUCACUCCUUAGUUACCUUUUGUUAGCUUUCAGAAUGAGAACCUUGUUUGCCAUUGUGAUGCAGGACGGUUGUACGGAUUGAAAUACAGAGAGAAAGAAGAGAGGAAGAGGGGAAGAAGAAGGGAAAGAGGAAAAGAGGAGGAGGAAGAAGAAGACCAAUUUUCAUUCAUUAAUUCAUUAAACCCUAAACAUAGGAUGGACCCAUAUAUAUAGGGUCACAAAAUAACAAAUAACCCCUACAAAUAAAAUAAUUCCAAAAAGCUCCUAAAAUGACAAUAUGCAAAUAAACCCAAAUGACAAUAUGCAA
RNAcentral lists this long non-coding RNA (493 nucleotides) under Phoenix dactylifera (date palm). RNAcentral describes it as "long non-coding RNA (PDAC_LNC023133)". Lineage: Eukaryota; Viridiplantae; Streptophyta; Magnoliopsida; Arecales; Arecaceae. The record is from RNAcentral.